UCCGAUGCUAUUCUAGAGAUAGAAAGUUACUUCGGUACAUCGGUGACAGGUGGUGCAUGGUUGUCGUCAGCUCGUGUCGUGAGAUGUUGGGUUAAGUCCCGCAACGAGCGCAACCCCUAUUGUUAUUGCCAUCAUUCAGUUGGGCACUCUAGCGAGACUGCCGGUAAUAAACCGGAGAAGGUGGGGAUGACGUCAAAUCGUCAUGCCCCUUAUGACCUGGGCUACACACGUGCUACAAUGGUUGGUACAACGAGUUGCGAGUCGGUGACGGCGAGCUAAUCUCUUAAAGCCAAUCUCAGUUCGGAUUGUAGGCUGCAACUCGCCUACAUGAAGUCGGAAUCGCUAGUAAUCGCGGAUCAGCACGCCGCGGUGAAUACGUUCCCGGGCCUU
This 390-nucleotide ribosomal RNA is filed under the name uncultured Streptococcus sp. RNAcentral's name for it is "bacterial SSU rRNA". It matches the Rfam family "Bacterial small subunit ribosomal RNA", at positions 988 to 1382 of the family's 1533-position model. The record is from RNAcentral. Lineage: Bacteria; Bacillati; Bacillota; Bacilli; Lactobacillales; Streptococcaceae.